UAGGGAAUCUUCCGCAAUGGACGCAAGUCUGACGGAGCAACGCCGCGUGAGUGAAGAAGGAUUUCGGUUCGUAAAACUCUGUUGUUAGAGAAGAACAGCGCAUAGAGUAACUGUUAUGCGUGUGACGGUAUCUAACCAGAAAGCCACGGCUAACUACGUGCCAGCAGCCGCGGUAAUACGUAGGUGGCAAGCGUUGUCCGGAAUUAUUGGGCGUAAAGCGAGCGCAGGCGGUCAAUUAAGUCUGAUGUGAAAGCCCCCGGCUCAACCGGGGAGGGUCAUUUGAAACUUUUUGACUUGAGUGCAGAAGAGUAGAGGUGAAUUCCAUGUGUAGCGGUAAAAUUCGUAGAUAUAUAGAGGAUCUCCAGUUGCGAAGAGGACUCGCUGGUCUGUAACUGUCGCUGCGGUUCGAAAGCGUUGGUAGCAAACAGG
RNAcentral lists this ribosomal RNA (429 nucleotides) under Bacteroidota bacterium. RNAcentral's name for it is "Bacteroidetes bacterium partial 16S ribosomal RNA". It matches the Rfam family "Bacterial small subunit ribosomal RNA", at positions 355 to 776 of the family's 1533-position model. Lineage: Bacteria; Pseudomonadati; Bacteroidota. The record is from RNAcentral.